GAUGAACGCUAGCGGCGGGCCUAACACAUGCAAGUCGAGGGGCAGCACAGAAACAGCAAUGUUUUGGUGGCGACCGGCGGACGGGUGCGUAACGCGUAUGCAACCUACCUUUAACAGGGGGAUAACGGAGAGAAAUUUCCAAUAAUACCCCAUAACAUCGAUCAAGGCAUCUUGAAUGGUUGAAAACUCCGGUGGUUAAAGAUGGGCAUGCGUUGUAUUAGGUAGUUGGUGAGGUAAUGGCUAACCAAGCCUACGAUACAUAGGGGGACUGAGAGGUUAGCCCCCCACACUGGUACUGAGACACGGACCAGACUCCUACGGGAGGCAGCAGUGAGGAAUAUUGGUCAAUGGGGGCAACCCUGAACCAGCCAUGCCGCGUGCAGGAAGACGGCUCUAUGAGUUGUAAACUGCUUUUAAACAGGGAUAAAGCACAGUAUGUAUACUGUGUUGAAGGUACUGUAAGAAUAAGGAUCGGCUAACUCCGUGCCAGCCGCCGCAGUAA
Molecule: ribosomal RNA, 502 nt
Filed under: uncultured bacterium
Lineage: Bacteria
Description: partial 16S ribosomal RNA
Rfam family: Bacterial small subunit ribosomal RNA
Source: RNAcentral